UGAGCUGACCUGUGCAGACUGGUCUCUGA
RNAcentral lists this non-coding RNA (29 nucleotides) under Mus musculus (house mouse). Lineage: Eukaryota; Metazoa; Chordata; Mammalia; Rodentia; Muridae. The record is from RNAcentral.